GGCGCGCUUAAUGCAUGCAAGUCGAGCGAUGAUGCUCUUUCGGGGGACACAUCAGCGGCAGACGGGUGAGUAACACGUAGGUAACCUACCCCAGAGACAGGGAUAGCCCGAGGAAACGAGGGCUAAUACCGGAUGACCUCCGGAAGGAGGAAAGGCUCAGGCGCUCUGGGAGGGGCUUGCGGCCCAUCAGCUAGUUGGUAGGGUAAAGGCCUACCAAGGCGAAGACGGGUAGGGGGUGUGAGAGCACGGCCCCCCACAAUGGGACUGAAACACGGCCCAUACUCCUACGGGAGGCAGCAGCAGGGAAUAUUGCACAAUAGGCGAAAGCCUGAUGCAGCGACGCCGCGUGAGUGAAGAAGGCCUUCGGGUCGUAAAGCUCUUUUGUAGGGGAAGAGGAAGGACGGUACCCUAAGAAGAAGCGUCGGCUAACUACGUGCCAGCAGCCGCGGUAAGACGUAGGACGCGAGCGUUAUCCGGAAUUACUGGGCGUAAAGGGCCAGCAGGCGGCUUGGUAAGUUGUGCGUGAAAGCCUCGUGCUCAACGCGAGGAAGCCGGACAAUACUGUCAAGCUAGAGGGCAUCAGAGGGGAGUGGAAUUCCCGGAGUAGCGGUAAAAUGCGCAGAUAUCGGGAGGAACACCGAUGGCGAAGGCAGCUCCCUGGGAUGCACCUGACGCUAAGAGGCGAAAGCUAGGGGAGCGAACAGGAUUAGAGACCCUGGUAGUCCUAGCUGUAAACGCUGGGUGCUAGGUGUGGGACGUAGAAGUUCCGUGCCGGAGCAAACGCGAUAAGCACCCCGCCU
Molecule: ribosomal RNA, 800 nt
Filed under: uncultured organism
Description: bacterial SSU rRNA
Rfam family: Bacterial small subunit ribosomal RNA
Source: RNAcentral